This 1417-nucleotide ribosomal RNA is filed under the name uncultured bacterium. RNAcentral describes it as "bacterial SSU rRNA". It matches the Rfam family "Bacterial small subunit ribosomal RNA". The record is from RNAcentral.
CCCAGACACCCUAUGGGCGAAUGAAUUCCCGGCCGCUUAUCGCCCUUAGAGUUUGAUCCUGGCUCCGGACGAACUCUGGCGGCGCGCCUAACACAUGCAAGUCGAACGAGCGAGAGAGAGCUUGCUUUCUCAAGCGAGUGGCGAACGGGUGAGUAACGCGUGAGGAACCUGCCUCAAAGAGGGGGACAACAGUUGGAAACGACUGCUAAUACCGCAUAAGCCCACAGCUCGGCAUCGAGCAGAGGGAAAAGGAGCAAUCCGCUUUGAGAUGGCCUCGCGUCCGAUUAGCUGGUUGGUGAGGUAAUGGCCCACCAAGGCGACGAUCGGUAGCCGGACUGAGAGGUUGAACGGCCACAUUGGGACUGAGACACGGCCCAGACUCCUACGGGAGGCAGCAGUGGGGAAUAUUGCACAAUGGGGGGAACCCUGAUGCAGCGACGCCGCGUGGAGGAAGAAGGUCUUCGGAUUGUAAACUCCUGUUGUUGAGGAAGAUAAUGACGGUACUCAACAAGGAAGUGACGGCUAACUACGUGCCAGCAGCCGCGGUAAAGCGUAGGUCACAAGCGUUGUCCGGAAUUACUGGGUGUAAAGGGAGCGCAGGCGGGAAGACAAGUUGGAAGUGAAAUCUAUGGGCUCAACCCAUAAACUGCUUUCAAAACUGUUUUUCUUGAGUAGUGCAGAGGUAGGCGGAAUUCCCGGUGUAGCGGUGGAAUGCGUAGAUAUCGGGAGGAACACCAGUGGCGAAGGCGGCCUACUGGGCACCAACUGACGCUGAGGCUCGAAAGUGUGGGUAGCANACAGGAUUAGAUACCCUGGUAGUCCACACCGUAAACGAUGAUUACUAGGUGUUGGAGGAUUGACCCCUUCAGUGCCGCAGUUAACACAAUAAGUAAUCCACCUGGGGAGUACGACCGCAAGGUUGAAACUCAAAGGAAUUGACGGGGGCCCGCACAAGCAGUGGAGUAUGUGGUUUAAUUCGACGCAACGCGAAGAACCUUACCAAGUCUUGACAUCCCUUGACGAUGCUGGAAACAGUAUUUCUCUUCGGAGCAAGGAGACAGGUGGUGCAUGGUUGUCGUCAGCUCGUGUCGUGAGAUGUUGGGUUAAGUCCCGCAACGAGCGCAACCCUUACUGUCAGUUACUACGCAAGAGGACUCUGGCAGGACUGCCGUUGACAAAACGGAGGAAGGUGGGGAUGACGUCAAAUCAUCAUGCCCUUUAUGACUUGGGCUACACACGUACUACAAUGGCGUUAAACAAAGAGAAGCAAGACCGCGAGGUGGAGCAAAACUCAGAAACAACGUCCCAGUUCGGACUGCAGGCUGCAACUCGCCUGCACGAAGUCGGAAUUGCUAGUAAUCGUGGAUCAGCAUGCCACGGUGAAUACGUUCNCCGGGCCAAGUACACACGGCCCGUC